ACUGAACGCUGGCGGCAUGCCUUACACAUGCAAGUCGAACGGCAGCACGGGAGCAAUCCUGGUGGCGAGUGGCGAACGGGUGAGUAAUGUAUCGGAACGUGCCUAGUUGUGGGGGAUAACGUAGAGAAAUUUACGCGAAUACCGCAUACGAUCUAUGGAUGAAAGCGGGGGAUCGCAAGACCUCGCGCAGUCAGAGCGGCCGAUAUCAGAUUAGGUUGUUGGUGGGGUAAAAGCUCACCAAGCCGACGAUCUGUAGCUGGUUUGAGAGAACGACCAGCCACACUGGGACUGAGACACGGCCCAGACUCCUACGGGAGGCAGCAGUGGGGAAUUUUGGACAAUGGGGGCAACCCUGAUCCAGCAAUGCCGCGUGCAGGAAGAAGGCCUUCGGGUUGUAAACUGCUUUUGUACGGAACGAAACGGUCCUUUCUAAUACAGAGGGCUAAUGACGGUACCGUAAGAAUAAGCACCGGCUAACUACGUGCCAGCCGCCGCGGUAA
This 500-nucleotide ribosomal RNA is filed under the name uncultured bacterium. Its description in RNAcentral is "partial 16S ribosomal RNA". It matches the Rfam family "Bacterial small subunit ribosomal RNA", at positions 30 to 523 of the family's 1533-position model. The record is from RNAcentral.